UAUCAUCACAAUUCAAACCCCAUUUGUGAAAUCGCAAUCUUGCAUGGAAAGUUGUGCCCAUUUGCCCUAAUUCUGCUGUCGGAGGCCCACGUUUUCUGCAGCAAUUGAUCGAAGAUCCUCACUCCAUUUUCCAAUUCUCAGCAGCGUGAUCGACCGACUCAUCGCAAUCAGAAAUCCAAACAAUGACGAUUCUGAAGAUGUGAGAAAUGAACAUUGAAGAACAGAAUGUCGAAGUCGAAGAAGAAGACCAAGUUUGUGAAAUACCAGGAACGCAAUGUGAUGGUUUAAGGAGGCGGUGCCCGAAAGGAUGAAACUGCAGCUAAACGGAUCCCUUCUCAUGUGAUUGCAAACCCUAGUGAUGACCCUUCGUAUUGUUUUGCUGAUGGAAUUCGCAUCUCCUUUUGAUUCUUGGCCUUAAAAGAAGAUCGUGAGUCCAAUCGAGCUCAUCUUCCAGAAAUCAUCGCCCACUUAUCAGUUCAUUUUUUUGCGGUUAGCAUGCCUACCUGUGAUGUUUUUUAUAUUUAUGUUUUUCGAAUCAGAAGGAAUUUCUCUCUUUACUAUUGAAGGAGAAGUAUAAGAGAGUGCAGAAAAAACUAUUACAGGUCAUUAAUCUGUUGUUUGGUGAGAUCUGAGCACAGGGAGGACCGGUAUUCUGGAUAAUUUGGAAACCUUUCGUAGAGCAAAUCAAUCUGAUUUCAGUGCAUGUAUUAUUACCAAAUUUUUAUGUUUUCAUUUGGAAGCGUUUUUUUCGUGGGUUUUUAUUUUUUGUGUUUUCUUUAGUACUAGAAUUCACUAUAUUCCAACAUAUUCUAAUAGUACGAAGCUUAUUGUGUGGACUACUCUGUCUGGUUAUUAUUUGUCACUUAAUAAAGCAUGUUAUUUGAAUCUA
Physcomitrium patens is the source of this 889-nucleotide non-coding RNA. The record is from RefSeq and is a predicted model, not a curated record. Lineage: Eukaryota; Viridiplantae; Streptophyta; Bryopsida; Funariales; Funariaceae.